RNAcentral lists this long non-coding RNA (2096 nucleotides) under Sus scrofa (pig). RNAcentral's name for it is "lncRNA (ENSSSCG00015078079.1)". Lineage: Eukaryota; Metazoa; Chordata; Mammalia; Artiodactyla; Suidae. The record is from RNAcentral.
CUGAAAGUCUAGGCUGGAGAUUUCAGCCUGCAAACUCCCAGACUCCAGGAAGGAACCUUCUCUGCUUUCUCUCUAGUCUCUUUGGAGCACCUUGAGGACAGGAGCUUGGCUUCAAGAAGACAGCAGAAGCACCAGGAGACGGGAAGAUACCUCUGAGAGUUAACCUACAGGAUCGGCAUUCCUGACUGCAGCUGUGGUAUGUAGUUUCAAGGUAAAGCUAAAAAAAAAAAGAAAGAAAGAAAAGCAAGGCCUUAAUUUAAGUCCUUCUGUCUUUCUUUUUAAUUACUCAAAUGAAUUUAUCACAUCUGUAGUUGUAUAAUGAUCAUAACAAUCCAAUUUCACAAGAUUUCCACCUAGGCCCUUCUGUCUUGAUCAUUUCUUUCAUUCCCCAAGGUAAGUUUCCCAAUAUUUACUGGAACUUGACAUACUGUCGUCAUAACCGGUAUUUAUGCUCCCUGGCAGGUCUACUCUCAGUCUUCCUGAUCUCCUAGAGUCUGGAGAGGACGCCUCUGUCUCAGAGAGCUUCUCUUUCUCCUGUACUUCCUUUCCAAUCCUAUAAGAUCCUCUGGGCCAAUGGCCUUAUUCAUCUCAUUCGAGCAGCCCUUGUCCCUUUCCAUGAUGUUUUCCAUACAACAGAUUUUAGAUUAUUUUAGUUCGGAAGCCAAUUUUAACUGGAUAUCUUCUCUGAAAAGUUUCCUCUACCACCUGGAAUAGGGAUAGGCACCAAAUGAAUUCCACGUACAGAACAGCCCAGCUACAAUUCCUGAGCCACCUAAACUCCGAGUCUUCUGGGCCAACUAAAAGGUUUUGUUGAAAGUUACUCGUGUAUCUCCAGAUAACAGCCAUUCUACUUCUUCCUCAGUUUCCUUCUGCACUCUACCUUGUCACACUGAAAAAUUCCUUGGAACCUAAUCCGAAGAGGUAUUCCUUCUAAAUCCUCUGGAGUAGCUCUUCAAAUCCCUGAUAACAGUUCCUUGCUCCAGAUUUUUCUAAACUAUGAGGCAUGCUGUUAUCACCAGGAGAAUCAUAUGUCCCUUGACUUAGUGGUAGCAACACCCUUCACGGGGAUUUACCUCAUCAAGUCCCACAUCCCCCUGGGCACAGAGAUUAUGGUUCCCACGGGACUUUAGAAAAAUUAAAAGAUAGGAGUUAAUAUUUACUGAGCCCUUAGUGUAGGUCAAACACUGGGCUGAACACUUCACAUGCGUGGUCACUUGGCACACAGGCGAGGGCAACGUCAUAAUUCAAGGCCUCUACAACACCCUCCCGUUGCAUCUGGUCAACAGAAUGUGGCAUAGAUGAAGGCAUUUUUCAGAUGUAAUUAAGGUCUCAAAGAGAUGUGGUCUUUUCUUACACUUGAUCUUAGCCAAAAGGCCGAAAAGCGAUGAUGCGGUCUUUUCUUAGGUCAGAUACUCUUCCCAGCUGCUGGCUUGAAGAAGUAAGCUACCACAUUGAGACAGGGCCUGUGGAAAGGGUAACAUGGCAAAGAACUGUGGAUGGUCCUAAGCCCACAAGGAAAUGAAUUCUGCCAACACGUAAAAGCUGAAAGCAGCUUUCCUCCAGUUGAGACUCCAGAGGAGAAUAAGGGUCAGUCACCACCUAGAUUGCUGCCUUGUGAUACCGUGAGCAGAGGACCCAGCUAAGCCAUGCCAGACUCCUGAAGAACUGUGAUGUAGUGUAUGUGUUAAGAAACUAAGUUUGUAGAUUCUUUUAUACAAUAGAAAAAUAAUACAGACUUGGGUGCCUAGAAGUGGAAACGAAAAACAUGGGAGCAGCUUUGGAAUCAGGCUAGAAGAAUUUUGAAAAGCAUAAAAGAGAAUGCCUAUGUGCCUUCAACAGACUAUUAGUAUAAAUCUAGGCAUUCGUAUGCUAUAGUGGGGGCUCAGAAGAAAUUGAGAAACAUGUUAUUAGGAAAAAAAAAAAGAGGAUUCUUGUCAUGUAGCAGUACAGAGCUUAGCAAAAUUAUGUCCUGGAGUUAUCUACAAGGAAAUACUUAAAAGCUGGUUAUAUAAUUAAGAAGACUUCCAAGUAAAGUGUUAAAAGUGCCUCCUGAUUUUUUUCUUGCUACUUACAAUAAAAUGGGAGAGGAGAAAAAU